GUCCACGCCGUAAACGAUGAUAACUAGCUGUCCGGGCACUUGGUGCCUGGGUGGCGCAGCUAACGCAUUAAGUUAUCCGCCUGGGGAGUACGGUCGCAAGAUUAAAACUCAAAGGAAUUGACGGGGGCCUGCACAAGCGGUGGAGCAUGUGGUUUAAUUCGAAGCAACGCGCAGAACAUUACCAGCCUUUGACAUCCCGCGCUAUCCAGAGAGAUCUGGAGUUCCCUUCGGGGACGCGGUGACAGGUGCUGCAUGGCUGUCGU
Molecule: ribosomal RNA, 263 nt
Filed under: uncultured bacterium
Lineage: Bacteria
Description: partial 16S ribosomal RNA
Rfam family: Bacterial small subunit ribosomal RNA
Source: RNAcentral